AAGCCCUGAAGCUCAUUGUAAAACGCACGGUAAAGAUUCCCCAUCAAGAACUCCGGCGCAUCGGGGCCGUUAAACCCAUCAUAAAUCCCAACAAACAGCCACCCUUGCUCCUCCGAAACCACCACAUGUACACGGUCCUCUCCGGCUUUGCCGAGAGCCCACUGGACAUUGCACUCGUUGCUCCUCCCCUGCUGCUCGUGCUCCUCCCCGUUCGCCGCCGGCCCCUCCUUCCGGCCGGCGAAGUUAUUCAGCACCGGGACCACCC
This 265-nucleotide long non-coding RNA is filed under the name Fragaria vesca (wild strawberry). RNAcentral describes it as "long non-coding RNA (FVES_LNC002538)". Lineage: Eukaryota; Viridiplantae; Streptophyta; Magnoliopsida; Rosales; Rosaceae. The record is from RNAcentral.